AAAAGUCGUAACAAGGUCUCCGUUGGUGAACCAGCGGAGGGAUCAUUAAAGAGUUGAAAAAACUCCAACCCCUGUGAACCUUACCUCGUCGUUGCUUCGGCGGCCGGAAGCCCCUCCCCGUACAGCGGGUGGGCCAACGCCGCCGGAGGCCACAAACUCUGAAUUUUUAGUGUAUCUCUGAGCCUAAAAACAAAUAAUCAAAACUUUCAACAACGGAUCUCUUGGUUCUGG
Molecule: unclassified non-coding RNA, 231 nt
Filed under: Gaeumannomyces sp.
Lineage: Eukaryota; Fungi; Ascomycota; Sordariomycetes; Magnaporthales; Magnaporthaceae
Description: partial internal transcribed spacer region
Rfam family: Eukaryotic small subunit ribosomal RNA (bases 1-48)
Source: RNAcentral